Molecule: ribosomal RNA, 599 nt
Filed under: uncultured bacterium
Lineage: Bacteria
Description: bacterial SSU rRNA
Rfam family: Bacterial small subunit ribosomal RNA
Source: RNAcentral
CCUACGGGGGCAGCAGUGGGGAAUAUUGCGCAAUGGGCGAAAGCCUGACGCAGCAACGCCGCGUGGGGGAUGAAGGCCUUCGGGUUGUAAACCUCUUUCAGCAGGGAAGAAGCGAAAGUGACGGUACCUGCAGAAGAAGCACCGGCUAACUACGUGCCAGCAGCCGCGGUAAUACGUAGGGUGCAAGCGUUGUCCGGAUUUAUUGGGCGUAAAGAGCUCGUAGGCGGUUAGUCACGUCGGAUGUGAAAUCCCGGAGCUUAACUCCGGGCCUGCAUUCGAUACGGGCUGACUCGAGUGUUGUAGGGGAGACUGGAACUCCUGGUGUAGCGGUGAAAUGCGCAGAUAUCAGGAAGAACACCGGUGGCGAAGGCGGGUCUCUGGGCAACUACUGACGCUGAGGAGCGAAAGCGUGGGGAGCAAACAGGAUUAGAUACCCUGGUAGUCCACGCCGUAAACGGUGGGCGCUAGGUGUGGGGAACAUUCCACGUUCUCUGCGCCGCAGCUAACGCAUUAAGCGCCCCGCCUGGGGAGUACGGCCGCAAGGCUAAAACUUAACAGAUAGUACGCGNGNGAGNGCGACGACGACGACGAGGAGGAGG